Molecule: long non-coding RNA, 710 nt
Organism: Solanum stenotomum
Lineage: Eukaryota; Viridiplantae; Streptophyta; Magnoliopsida; Solanales; Solanaceae
Exons: 2
Source: RefSeq, a predicted model, not a curated record
UUCCAACCUUACUUGAGCCAUGGAUCUUUCGAAAAGAACCUCGCUGCCUUCACAAGGUAGGGGUAAGGUCUACGUACACACCACCCUCCCCAAACCCACUUUGUGGGAUUACCCUUUGUAUGUUGUUGCUUUUUCAACCUUUAAUUUGAAGUUCGAAUCACAACGCAGAUAUCAUGGUGUAUAUGGGAGCUUUCCCCUGCUUGUCGAACACUGUGUGGCUUUUCUUUUAUCUCUUCCUUUCUUUCUUCAUAUCUUCUUUGUUUUUUUUUUCCUUUCCAACCUUACUUGAGCCAAGGGUCUUUCGAAAAGAACCUCACUACCUUCACAAGGUAGGGGUAAGGUCUACGUACACACCACCCUCCCCAAACCCACUUUGUGGGAUUACCCUUCGUAUGUUGUUGCUUUUUCAACCUUUAAUUUGAAGUACGAAUCACAACGCAUUUUUACAUAGAUUAUAACAUUUUUCUUAAAUCAAUAACAUAAAGGAGUCGUGGAUUAUUGCCCCUUCAAUGAAAGAGAUCAUUCAGAUAAAACAGUGUGACAUCUAAGCAUGAAUUAAUUCACAAAAUUAUCUGAAGGCACGCAAUACAUUUAAGUACUCUAAGUAAGAGACAGCGCCUCAUGGAUGUACAUCAAACAGGACCCCAUUUAUUUUCGCAUAAUCCACAAUAUCACUUUUCAUCCCUAACGGAAAAUUCACUCACAUCCAC